RNAcentral lists this small RNA (85 nucleotides) under Piliocolobus tephrosceles (Ugandan red Colobus). RNAcentral describes it as "Y RNA (ENSPTEG00000027479.1)". Lineage: Eukaryota; Metazoa; Chordata; Mammalia; Primates; Cercopithecidae. The record is from RNAcentral.
GGCUGGUCCAAGUGUAAUGGUGUUUACAACUAAUUGAUCAUAACCAGUUACAGAUUUUAUUGUUCCUUCUCUUGACUAAUCUUAA